Molecule: ribosomal RNA, 1195 nt
Filed under: Odontesthes bonariensis (pejerrey)
Lineage: Eukaryota; Metazoa; Chordata; Actinopteri; Atheriniformes; Atherinopsidae
Description: partial 16S ribosomal RNA
Rfam family: Bacterial large subunit ribosomal RNA
Source: RNAcentral
AUUAAAUCUUGUACCUUUUGCAUCAUGGUUUAGCAAGAGACCCCCAAGCAAAAAGAAUUUUAGUUUGCCUACCCGAAACUGGGUGAGCUACUCCAAGACAGCCUAAUUAAUAGGGCAAACCCGUCUCUGUGGCAAAAGAGUGGGAAGAGCUUUGAGUAGAGGUGACAGACCUACCGAACCCAGUUAUAGCUGGUUGCCUGGGAAGUGAAUAGAAGUUCAGCCUCUCAGCUUCUCUAGAACCUUAGAGAGUUAGUCAGAGGGGGUACAGCCCCUUUGACCCAAGACACAACUUUUAAAGGAGGAUAAAGAUCAAAUUUUUUCAAGGCAUUAUGUUUAGGUGGGCCUAAAAGCAGCCAUCCCAAAGAAAAGCGUUAAAGCUUAAACAUAUAAUCCUGAUAAUUACAUCUUAAUCCCCUUUUACUACCAGGCCAUCCCAUACUUCUAUGGGAGUGAUUAUGCUAAUAUGAGUAAUAAGAAGGGGCCUUCUCCAUGCACAAGUGUAUUUCGGAACGGACAAACCACCGAACAUUAACGGCCCCAAACGAAGAGGGCAUUAGAAACCAACCAGAAGACUUUCUACCGUUAACCCCACACUGGUGUGCCAUUCCGGAAAGACUAAAAGAGGGAGAAGGAACUCGGCAAAAAAGCCUCGCCUGUUUACCAAAAACAUCGCCUCUUGCAUAUAUAAGAGGUCCCGCCUGCCCUGUGACUUUACGUUUAACGGCCGCGGUAUUUUGACCGUGCAAAGGUAGCGCAAUCACUUGUCUUUUAAAUGAAGACCUGUAUGAAUGGCACGACGAGGGCUUAACUGUCUCCUUCCUCCAGUCAAUGAAAUUGAUCUCCCCGUGCAGAAGCGGGGCUACACACAUAAGACGAGAAGACCCUGUGGAGCUUUAGACCCGGGGCAAGACCAUGUCAAGAAUACCGGACAAACGAUUUGAACUAAUUGGAACCUUCCCUAAUGUCUUUGGUUGGGGCGACCGCGGGGAAACAAAAAACCCCCAUGUGGAAUGGAAACAUUUCCACAACCAAGAGCCACAGCUCUAAGUAACAGAAUUUCUGACCUACAAGAUCCGGCAAAGCCGAUCAACGGACCCAGUUACCCCAGGGAUAACAGCGCAAUCCUCUUUUAGAGCCCAUAUCGACAAGGGGGUUUACGACCUCGAUGUUGGAUCAGGACAUCCUAAUGGUGCAG